This 254-nucleotide ribosomal RNA is filed under the name uncultured Pseudomonas sp. RNAcentral's name for it is "partial 16S ribosomal RNA". It matches the Rfam family "Bacterial small subunit ribosomal RNA", at positions 99 to 355 of the family's 1533-position model. The record is from RNAcentral. Lineage: Bacteria; Pseudomonadati; Pseudomonadota; Gammaproteobacteria; Pseudomonadales; Pseudomonadaceae.
CGGACGGGUGAGUGAUGCCUAGGAAUCUGCCUGGUAGUGGGGGACAACGUUUCGAAAGGAACGCUAAUACCGCAUACGUCCUACGGGAGAAAGCAGGGGACCUUCGGGCCUUGCGCUAUCAGAUGAGCCUAGGUCGGAUUAGCUAGUUGGUGAGGUAAUGGCUCACCAAGGCGACGAUCCGUAACUGGUCUGAGAGGAUGAUCAGUCACACUGGAACUGAGACACGGUCCAGACUCCUACGGGAGGCAGCAGCC